GUACCGUUAAAGUAAGGAUAUUCACCCUUUCACGGUGUGAACCGGGGUUCGAAUCCCCGUGGGGACGCCA
RNAcentral lists this transfer RNA (70 nucleotides) under Rhodocyclaceae bacterium. Its description in RNAcentral is "tRNA-Glu". The record is from RNAcentral. Lineage: Bacteria; Pseudomonadati; Pseudomonadota; Betaproteobacteria; Rhodocyclales; Rhodocyclaceae.